CAAUUCUACCCCAUGUCAGAUUUGCUCUAAAUGCUUUGGUUUUUGAGUUAUAAGCCAAAAACUGCAUUUUACCCCUAUGUUCUAUUUUUAGCCAUGGCGGCCAUCUUGGAUGGUUGGCCGGGUCACCGGACACAUUUUUUAAACUAGAUACCCCAAUGAUGAUUGUGGCCAAGUUUGGUUUAAUUUGGCCCAGUAGUUUCAGAGGAGAAGAUUUUUGUAAAAGUUAACGACGACGACGGACGACGACGACGGACGACGGACGCCAAGUGAUGAGAAAAGCUCACUUGGCCUUUUAGGCCAGGUGAGCUAAAAACAAAAA
Molecule: long non-coding RNA, 319 nt
Filed under: Mytilus galloprovincialis (Mediterranean mussel)
Lineage: Eukaryota; Metazoa; Mollusca; Bivalvia; Mytilida; Mytilidae
Source: RNAcentral